This 576-nucleotide ribosomal RNA is filed under the name uncultured bacterium. RNAcentral's name for it is "bacterial SSU rRNA". It matches the Rfam family "Bacterial small subunit ribosomal RNA", at positions 8 to 603 of the family's 1533-position model. The record is from RNAcentral.
AGAGUUUGAUCCUGGCUCAGAACGAACGCUGGCGGCGUGGAUAAGACAUGCAAGUCGCACGGAGAAAAGAUAGUUUACUAGCUUUUCUGAGUGGCGCACGGGUGAGUAACACGUGAGCAACCUGCCUCUUAGUGGGGGAUAGCCCUGGGAAACCGGGAUUAAUACCGCAUAUCAUCGCAAGAUGAAAGCAGCAAUGCGCUAAGAGAGGGGCUCGCGGCCUAUUAGUUAGUUGGUGAGGUAACGGCUCACCAAGGCGAUGACGGGUAGCCGGUCUGAGAGGAUGUCCGGCCACACUGGAACUGAGACGCGGUCCAGACACCUACGGGUGGCAGCAGUCGAGAAUCAUUCACAAUGGGGGAAACCCUGAUGGUGCGACGCCGCGUGGGGGAAGAAGGUCUUCGGAUUGUAAACCCCUGUCAUGUGGGAGCAAGCUAGCAAUAGUUGAUAGUACCACAAGAGGAAGAGACGGCUAACUCUGUGCCAGCAGCCGCGGUAAUACAGAGGUCUCAAGCGUUGUUCGGAAUCACUGGGCGUAAAGGGUACGUAGGCUGUACCAUAAGUCGGGCGUGAAAGGCA